CCUACGGGAGGCUGCAGUGAGGCAUAUUGGUCAAUGGACGAGAGUCUGAACCAGCCAAGUAGCGUGAAGGAUGACUGCCCUAUGGGUUGUAAACUUCUUUUAUAAAGGAAUAAAACGAGGCACGUGUGCCUUUUUGCAUGUACUUUAUGAAUAAGGAUCGGCUAACUCCGUGCCAGCAGCCGCGGUAAUACGGAGGAUACGAGCGUUAUCCGGAUUUAUUGGGUUUAAAGGGAGCGUAGAUGGGUUGGUAAGUCAGUUGUGAAAGUUUGGGGCUCAACCCUAACAUUGCAAUUGAUACUGGCAGUCUUGAGUACAGUUGAGGUAGGCGGAAUUCGUGGUGUAGCGGUGAAAUGCUUAGAUAUCACGAAGAACCCCGAUUGCGAAGGCAGCUUACUAAACUGUGACUGACAUUGAUGCUCGAAAGUGUGGGUAGCAAACAGGAUUAGAUACCCGAGUAGUC
RNAcentral lists this ribosomal RNA (460 nucleotides) under uncultured bacterium. RNAcentral's name for it is "partial 16S ribosomal RNA". It matches the Rfam family "Bacterial small subunit ribosomal RNA", at positions 338 to 795 of the family's 1533-position model. The record is from RNAcentral.